GCGCUUGUAGCUCAGUUGGAUAGAGCGCUAGAUUCCGGUUCUAGAGGCCGGGGGUUCGAAUCCUCCCAAGCGCG
RNAcentral lists this transfer RNA (74 nucleotides) under Bacteroidota bacterium. RNAcentral's name for it is "Bacteroidetes bacterium tRNA-Arg". It matches the Rfam family "tRNA". Rfam says of the family: Transfer RNA (tRNA) molecules are approximately 80 nucleotides in length. Their secondary structure includes four short double-helical elements and three loops (D, anti-codon, and T loops). Further hydrogen bonds mediate the characteristic L-shaped molecular structure. tRNAs have two regions of fundamental functional importance: the anti-codon, which is responsible for specific mRNA codon recognition, and the 3' end, to which the tRNAs corresponding amino acid is attached (by aminoacyl-tRNA synthetases). tRNAs cope with the degeneracy of the genetic code in two manners: having more than one tRNA (with a specific anti-codon) for a particular amino acid; and 'wobble' base-pairing, i.e. permitting non-standard base-pairing at the 3rd anti-codon position. RNAcentral also lists the same sequence under 1 other name. Lineage: Bacteria; Pseudomonadati; Bacteroidota. The record is from RNAcentral.